This 549-nucleotide ribosomal RNA is filed under the name uncultured Glomeromycotina. RNAcentral's name for it is "SSU rRNA". It matches the Rfam family "Eukaryotic small subunit ribosomal RNA", at positions 548 to 1098 of the family's 1831-position model. Lineage: Eukaryota; Fungi; Glomeromycota. The record is from RNAcentral.
UUGGAGGGCAAGUCUGGUGCCAGCAGCCGCGGUAAUUCCAGCUCCAAUAGCGUAUAUUAAAGUUGUUGCAGUUAAAAAGCUCGUAGUUGAAUUUCGGGAUCAAUAUAUUGGUCGUGCCUCCGGUAUGCACUGGUAUUAUUGAUUUCUACCUUCUGACGAACUGUGAUGUCAUUAAUUUGGUGUCAUGGGGAAUCAGGACUGUUACUUUGAAAAAAUUAGAGUGUUUAAAGCAGGCACACGCUUGAAUACAUUAGCAUGGAAUAAUGAAAUAGGACGUUUGACCCUAUUUUGUUGGUUUCUAGGAUCGACGUAAUGAUUAAUAGGGAUAGUUGGGGGCAUUAGUAUUCAAUUGUCAGAGGUGAAAUUCUUGGAUUUAUUGAAGACUAACUACUGCGAAAGCAUUUGCCAAGGAUGUUUUCAUUAAUCAAGAACGAAAGUCAGGGGAUCGAAGACGAUCAGAUACCGUCGUAGCCUUAACCAUAAACUAUGCCGACUAGGGAUCGGAUGAUGUUAAUUUUAUAAUGACUCAUUCGGCGCCUUACGGGAAAC